UUUUAGGGAUAAAAAAAUAAAAAAUAAAAAAUAAGCAUUAUCUUAUGGCAUAUGUAAAUUUUUAUUCUAAUAUAACUUUAUUAAGAUAUUAUUAUAGUUUUGUUGCACUUUAUCCACUUGGAUGUGUUUAUAAAUAGAUUCAGUUUCUCUUGGUUUAAUCAUAGCUGUCUAAGUUCUUUCUACUUCCUUGGUGUUGUUAAUUUAAAAAGUUUGUUAGUGUUUUAGCAAUUGUUAGUUUACCAAUUCUCUUUGUCCCUUAACUUAGAUGAGAACAUACAUACCA
This 283-nucleotide long non-coding RNA is filed under the name Arachis ipaensis. RNAcentral describes it as "long non-coding RNA (AIPA_LNC002542)". Lineage: Eukaryota; Viridiplantae; Streptophyta; Magnoliopsida; Fabales; Fabaceae. The record is from RNAcentral.